UCGAAACCUGCACAGCAGAACGACCCGCGAACUCGUUUACCAACCCCGAGGGGCGGGGCCUGCCCCGUACCCCUCGGUGCCGGAACGCGCCUUCGCCCUCUCCCCGUGAAAAGGGCGACGGGCCGGCGCGCGACGGCAAGAACCCAAACACCGGCGCGGGUUGCGCCAAGGACUAUGAAUUCUAUCGCGUCCCGCGGCCCCGGGCGACCGGGUUCCGCGGCGAAGGCGCGUCGAAAAUUGAACAAAACGACUCUCGGCAACGGAUAUCUCGGCUCUCGCAUCGAUGAAGAACGUAGCGAAAUGCGAUACUUGGUGUGAAUUGCAGAAUCCCGUGAACCAUCGAGUCUUUGAACGCAAGUUGCGCCCGAAGCCAUCCGGCCGAGGGCACGUCUGCCUGGGCGUCACGCAUCGCGUCGCCCCCUCCCCCUCCAUCGAGCGGAGAGAGGGGCGGAGUAUGGCCCCCCGUGCGCUCCCGCGCGCGGCCGGCCUAAACACGGAGCCCGUGGCCGCGAGCGCCGCGACGUUUGGUGGUUGAAUCUUAAGCAUCRCGUCGCGUGCUCGUGCGGCAACGAGGACGGCUCGGAGGACCCUUGGGCGCCACAGCCUACCCUUGCGACCCC
This 620-nucleotide ribosomal RNA is filed under the name Dedeckera eurekensis. RNAcentral's name for it is "eukaryotic LSU rRNA". The stretch from base 249 to 404 matches the Rfam family "5.8S ribosomal RNA". The record is from RNAcentral. Lineage: Eukaryota; Viridiplantae; Streptophyta; Magnoliopsida; Caryophyllales; Polygonaceae.